CAAGGCUUUCACUGUAUUAAAGAGACUUGCAAAUCACACAGAUCAACAGUCACCUGAAGUUCUUGAGAUGCCUACUGUUUCUCAGAGAUUACAAGUCUCCUGUGACUCAGCACUCAUAGUAACUAUUUCCCUGUGAAUAUGUUUUUCAUGCUGGAGGCUGGGCCCUUUUACAGGGACAGAGCCACAACACUGGAAGAAGAUGAGUUUCUUUGGGUAGAGUCCCAGCAGUUGCUAUGGGAAGGCUGCACACUCAACAGACUGGAAGCAAAGAUGGCUGCUGAAGAUUCCCAGAGAAGACCCUGGGAAGUCAGAAUUGACUUGACAGCACCACAUCAUCAUCAUCAUCAUCACCACCACCACCAUCAUCAUCAUUGUGAAACAUAAAAUUCAGGUGGCAACUAUUACAAUAAUGAUCCAGAGCAGAUGGAAGCAGUGCAGGCAGAGAGAUCAAGCCGUAUUUUGAAGAGGUUUAUAACAGCCAUUUUUCUCAGCUUCAUCACUCUUAAGAUGUCCUGGUGUAAGAUGUGUCAACAGCCUUACUUUGCUCUCAUUGAACAAGGGAACAAGAAGUUGGAUGCUAUGGAAUUAAAAUUCUAUUGCAUGGCAGUCCUGGCACUGAAUCAAAUGAUCAAUAGUGCAUGGUGGCUUAUAAGCAAUUUGGGGAGAGCUGAUGUAACAAUUUUCUUGGAGUGUCUUUGAGAACAACACUACAACAUGGCUAUGGUAUUUCAGGCAGAAGAACAUCAGCUGCUGGCCUGUUGAUUAGCAUCUCAUGCCACAUGGCAGACUGUGGAUCAAAAGCCGUAACAAGAACUGAAUUUUUUCAUCAAUAUGCUUGGCUUCACUUUUCAAGGUUAACCCAAGAAUGAGAGAUAUGUAUUUCUAUAUGUGAUUGUGCCUGGAAGCUGGGCAAGUUCCAGAAAAUAAAAACUACUGUCUACAGGUGGGUACCCCUUUCUUUGCAGAGACUGAAAUGGCUCUGAUCCUAUUGUAACUGCUCCUCUUUGCAUUUGACCAAUCAGCACAAAUGCUUAAUUCCAGUAGAUGGAAUAUCAUUGGGCACCUUACUGAAUGCAGUGUGACUUUUUCUGAGUAGCAUUUUUGAACUUCCAAUCAUGCUUGCCUGUUUCUGUCACUUACGACACCAGUAAUCAACAGACUUCUUCCUUCCUUGAUACUCAAAGACCAUCACCAUGGAUGAUCUUCAGAAAUGCUUACCAUCAUGCACCUAGAAUCUGAGUCUCACCCCUGAGUCAUCAUCUAUUCCAGUCAUCCAUUUUCAGUGUUCUGGGAGGAGAUGCCAGUGCUUUUGUUUAAAUGUGUAGUAGAAGAUCUACCUGCUUACUGAAAGUCCUUUCCCUAUUAUUUCAUAGUAUUGAAAAAGAAUUGAGGCUGAAAUUCAUAUCUUUUAUCUGAGAUACCAGCUUCUUCAUCCAUCUGAAGAAGAUUUUGCAUGGUUACUCUUACCAGUAUUUUUCAGCUCCUCCAAAGGGUUGUUUGACUUGCUAGUACAAGCCUAAACAUCUAACUUCUGUUAAGGGAGUUGCUGAUUUCUCAGAUUCAUAAUGAGUCAUUGGUCAGAAUUUUAUAGGUGAUGAAUGCAUGUAGGAGCGGAAGUGUGUACGUUACAGCGGCAAAUUGCCUUUCAUUAGUGGUUGCAAUCCAGAUCACAUGCCUUGUUGUGCAGGGGCAUGCAACCAAGCAUAUGAUGGGCAUAUUGUUAAUUAGAAGAAAUUUGCUGCUGCAAGUUAUGUGAUUCUGCUUAAGUUAGUUAUGUGCUGCCAAGUCAGAACUGACAUAUAGCUACCCUAAUAUGGCUUUCAAGGUAGUGAGAGAUGUCAGGAAUGGUUUUAUCAGUUCCACUUCACUUACAUGUAUAUAAAGUAACAACAGGAUUGUAGUAAUUGGAUGUACUAUUUCAAAGUACUGCUCUUCAUUCAGCCCUGCUACAAUUCCAAGUUGUUUUUUUCUAGGUGGAAAGUGGAAGUGGGAGUCCAG
This is a non-coding RNA of Pogona vitticeps (central bearded dragon), 1998 nucleotides long. The record is from RefSeq and is a predicted model, not a curated record. NCBI's taxonomy places the organism in Eukaryota, Metazoa, Chordata, Lepidosauria, Squamata, Agamidae.